RNAcentral lists this ribosomal RNA (413 nucleotides) under uncultured bacterium. Its description in RNAcentral is "bacterial SSU rRNA". It matches the Rfam family "Bacterial small subunit ribosomal RNA", at positions 505 to 916 of the family's 1533-position model. The record is from RNAcentral.
GUGUCAGCAGCCGCGGUAAUACGUAGGUGGCAAGCGUUGUCCGGAAUUAUUGGGCGUAAAGCGCGCGCAGGUGGUUUCUUAAGUCUGAUGUGAAAGCCCACGGCUCAACCGUGGAGGGUCAUUGGAAACUGGGAGACUUGAGUGCAGAAGAGGAUAGUGGAAUUCCAAGUGUAGCGGUGAAAUGCGUAGAGAUUUGGAGGAACACCAGUGGCGAAGGCGACUAUCUGGUCUGUAACUGACACUGAGGCGCGAAAGCGUGGGGAGCAAACAGGAUUAGAUGCCCUGGUAGUCCACGCCGUAAACGAUGAGUGCUAAGUGUUAGGGGGUUUCCGCCCCUUAGUGCUGCAGCUAACGCAUUAAGCACUCCGCCUGGGGAGUACGGUCGCAAGACUGAAACUCAAAUGAAUUGACGG